AGAGUUACAUCAGCCACAUCCGUCAAUGCGAAUGGAAACAGGGUUAGAUCAGCCAAAUGGUUCAAUACAAACGGAAACAGGGUUAGAUCAGCCAAAUGGAUCAACACAAACGGAAACAGGUAACACUACACAAACCAUGAAUUCUAUCUAAUCCGGUACUUGGGCUUUAUCAAACAUAAUGAAAUUCAUUGAAUGCAUGAUUUGCAUUCUCUUGGCAUAUGUGCACAUUUUUUCUGCUUUUGAUUUCGUCCAUGCAGACCCCUUAUGUAUCUUUUUCAAAUUGGAAGAAUUGUUUUCCUUUAAGAUUUUAAUAAUCUGCACUUACAUAGUGUUUUUUAUUUUUUAUUAUAUUAUUAUUAUUAUUAUUUUUUUGCAUGCAUUAUUUCUAAAUUGCCUGGUUUUAUUCAUAUAAUUAGGACCUGAUGUCCAUUUCAAGGUUAGACCAGCGAAUGCCACUGUUACCGGAAACAUAUAAUAUGCCACAAACCAUGCCAUCCAAUCAAUUUGGGCAUUAUAAAACAUAAUUCGUAGACGCAUAAUUUGUAGUCUCUGUAUGCAUAUGCAUCCCUUUUAUUUUUCUCCUUUCGUUCUUGUGUAUGCAUGCCAACC
This is a long non-coding RNA of Ziziphus jujuba (common jujube), 609 nucleotides long. RefSeq lists it as uncharacterized. The record is from RefSeq and is a predicted model, not a curated record. The transcript is spliced from 3 exons. NCBI's taxonomy places the organism in Eukaryota, Viridiplantae, Streptophyta, Magnoliopsida, Rosales, Rhamnaceae.